Molecule: ribosomal RNA, 578 nt
Filed under: uncultured bacterium
Lineage: Bacteria
Description: partial 16S ribosomal RNA
Rfam family: Bacterial small subunit ribosomal RNA
Source: RNAcentral
UGGGGAAUUUUGGACAAUGGGCGAAAGCCUGAUCCAGCAAUGCCGCGUGUGUGAAGAAGGCCUUCGGGUUGUAAAGCACUUUUGUCCGGAAAGAAAUCCUUGGCUCUAAUACAGUCGGGGGAUGACGGUACCGGAAGAAUAAGCACCGGCUAACUACGUGCCAGCAGCCGCGGUAAUACGUAGGGUGCAAGCGUUAAUCGGAAUUACUGGGCGUAAAGCGUGCGCAGGCGGUUUGCUAAGACCGAUGUGAAAUCCCCGGGCUCAACCUGGGAACUGCAUUGGUGACUGGCAGGCUAGAGUAUGGCAGAGGGGGGUAGAAUUCCACGUGUAGCAGUGAAAUGCGUAGAGAUGUGGAGGAAUACCGAUGGCGAAGGCAGCCCCCUGGGCAAGUACUGACGCUCAUGCACGAAAGCGUGGGGAGCAAACGGAUUAAUNCCCUGGUAGUCCACGCCCUAAANGAUGUCACUAGUUGUUGGGGAUUCAUUUCCUUAGUAACGUAGCUAACGCGUGAGUUGACCGCCUGGGGAGUAGGUCGCAAGAUUAAAACUUAAAUAAUUGACGGGGUCAAGCUGUUUCCU